Molecule: ribosomal RNA, 1123 nt
Filed under: uncultured bacterium
Lineage: Bacteria
Description: bacterial SSU rRNA
Rfam family: Bacterial small subunit ribosomal RNA
Source: RNAcentral
AUUGAUUUUAUGCUUGCAUAAAUGAUUUUUGGAUUCGGAGCGAGUGGCGAACUGGUGAGUAACACGUGGGUAACCUGCCCCGAAGCGGGGGAUAACAUUUGGAAACAAGUGCUAAUACCGCAUAAUUAGUUGGAACCGCAUGGUUCCAACUUGAAAGAUGGCUCUGCUAUCACCUUGGGAUGGACCCGCGCCGUAUUAGUUAGUUGGUGAGAUAAAAGCCCACCAAGACGAUGAUACGUAGCCGACCUGAGAGGGUAAUCGGCCACAUUGGGACUGAGACACGGCCCAGACUCCUACGGGAGGCAGCAGUAGGGAAUCUUCCACAAUGGACGAAAGUCUGAUGGAGCAACGCCGCGUGAGUGAUGAAGGUUUUCGGAUCGUAAAACUCUGUUGUUAAAGAAGAACAAGUGUUAGAGUAACUGUUAACACUUUGACGGUAUUUAACCAGAAAGCCACGGCUAACUACGUGCCAGCAGCCGCGGUAAUACGUAGGUGGCAAGCGUUGUCCGGAUUUAUUGGGCGUAAAGCGAGCGCAGGCGGUUUUGUAAGUCUGCUGUGAAAGCCCUCAGCUCAACUGAGGAAGUGCAGUGGAAACUACAAAACUUGAGUACAGAAGAGGAAAGUGGAACUCCAUGUGUAGCGGUGAAAUGCGUAGAUAUAUGGAAGAACACCAGUGGCGAAGGCGGCUUUCUGGUCUGUUACUGACGCUGAGGCUCGAAAGCAUGGGUAGCGAACAGGAUUAGAUACCCUGGUAGUCCAUGCCGUAAACGAUGAAUACUAGGUGUUGGAGGGUUUCCGCCCUUCAGUGCCGCAGCUAACGCAUUAAGUAUUCCGCCUGGGGAGUACGACCGCAAGGUUGAAACUCAAAGGAAUUGACGGGGGCCCGCACAAGUGGUGGAGCAUGUGGUUUAAUUCGAUGCUACGCGAAGAACCUUACCAGCUCUUGACAUCUUCUGCCAACCCAAGAGAUUGGGCGUUCCCUUCGGGGACAGAAUGACAGGUGGUGCAUGGUUGUCGUCAGCUCGUGUCGUGAGAUGUUGGGUUAAGUCCCGCAACGAGCGCAACCCUUAUUAUUAGUUGCCAGCAUUUAGUUGGGCACUCUAGUGAGACUGCCGGUGAUAAA